AGAACGAACGCUGGCGGCAGGCCUCAAACAUGCAAGUCUAGGGGGUGUAGCAAUACAUCACCGGCGGACGGGUGCGUAACACGUGGGAAUGUACCUACUGGUUCGGAACAACGCAGGGAAACUUGCGCUAAUACCGAAUAAGCCCGAAAGGGGAAAGAUUUAUCGCCAGUAGAUCAGCCCGCGUAGGAUUAGCUAGUUGGUGGGGUAAUGGCCCACCAAGGCUCCGAUCCUUAGCUGUUCUGAGAGGAAGAUCAGCCACACUGGGACUGAGACACGGCCCAGACUCCUACGGGAGGCAGCAGUUGGGAAUCUUGGACAAUGGGGGAAACCCUGAUGCAGCGACGUCGCGUGGAGGAUGAAAUCUUUCGGGAUGUAAACUCCUUUUAACGGGGAAGAAAAAAAUGACGGUACCCGUUGAAUAAGCCCGGCUAACUACGUGCCAGCAGCCGC
This 450-nucleotide ribosomal RNA is filed under the name uncultured bacterium. RNAcentral's name for it is "SSU rRNA". It matches the Rfam family "Bacterial small subunit ribosomal RNA", at positions 26 to 518 of the family's 1533-position model. The record is from RNAcentral.